UACGUAGGGGGCAAGCGUUAUCCGGAAUUACUGGGUGUAAAGGGAGCGUAGGCGGCAUGGUAAGCCAGAUGUGAAAGCCCGGGGCUUAACUCCGAGGAUUGCAUUUGGAACUAUCAAGCUAGAGUACAGGAGAGGAAAGCGGAAUUCCUAGUGUAGCGGUGAAAUGCGUAGAUAUUAGGAAGAACACCAGUGGCGAAGGCGGCUUUCUGGACUGAAACUGACGCUCAGGCUCGAAAGCGUGGGGAGCAAACAGG
Molecule: ribosomal RNA, 254 nt
Filed under: Anaerotignum lactatifermentans
Lineage: Bacteria; Bacillati; Bacillota; Clostridia; Lachnospirales; Anaerotignaceae
Also listed under: 1 other name
Description: partial 16S ribosomal RNA
Rfam family: Bacterial small subunit ribosomal RNA
Source: RNAcentral